Molecule: ribosomal RNA, 855 nt
Filed under: uncultured Candidatus Saccharibacteria bacterium
Lineage: Bacteria; Candidatus Saccharimonadota
Description: bacterial SSU rRNA
Rfam family: Bacterial small subunit ribosomal RNA
Source: RNAcentral
UUAGAGUUUGAUCAUGGCUCAGGAUGAAUGCUGGCGGCGUGCCUAAUACAUGCAAGUCGGCGGUAACAGGGGGUUCCACCGUUUCCUUGACACACCUAGCGCUUUGGUCGUAGGUUGUUACUUCGAGGGAACAGCGGAACCCUGCUGACGAGCGGCGGACGGCUGAGUAACGCGUGGGACGGACCCCAAACUGAGGGAUAACUAGUCGAAAGAUUAGCUAAUACCGCAUAUGGUCUUCGAUUAAAGGAUUUAUCCGGUUUGGGACUGGCCUGCGUACGAUUAGAUAGUUGGUAGGGUAAGGCCUACCAAGUCGACGAUCGUUAGAUGGUUUGAGAAGAUGAUCAUCCAGACUGGGACUGGACACGGCCCAGACUCCUACGGGAGGCAGCAGUAGGGAAUCUUUCACAAUGGGCGAAAGCUGAUGGAGCAACGCCGCGUGCAGGAUGACGGCCUUCGGGUUGUAAACUGCUUUUAUAUCCAGAAAUAUGAUGGUAAGAUAUGAAUAAGGACCGGCUAACUACGUGCCAGCAGCCGCGGUCUACGUAGGGUCCAAGCAUUAUCCGGAUUGACUGGGUGUAAAGAGUUGCGUAGGUGGCAUAUAAGUAGACAGUGAAAUCUGGUGGCUCAACCAUUCAGACUAUUGCCUAAACUGCUAAGCUGAGAAUGUUAGGGGUAGCUGGAAUUUCUAGUGUAGGAGUGAAAUCCGUAGAUAUUAGAAAAACACCGAUAGCGUAGGCAGGCUACUGGGACAUUUCUGACACUAAGCACGAAAGCGUAGGAGCAAACGGGAUUAGAUACCCCGGUAGUCUACGCUGUAAACGAUGGAUACUAGCAGUUUGGGUAUCGACCCCCCGA